Molecule: unclassified non-coding RNA, 1981 nt
Filed under: Hevea brasiliensis (rubber tree)
Lineage: Eukaryota; Viridiplantae; Streptophyta; Magnoliopsida; Malpighiales; Euphorbiaceae
Source: RNAcentral
CUGGGGCAAUUUUUUCUUUUCUAAUUUUCAAUUAAUAUUCUUAACCAAAAAUUAAAGGAUUAUUAGAUUAGGGAAUGGUUCACAUCUUCACUCCAUUUUAAUCACAAUUACCAAUGUUACAUCAGCUUUGAGGUGACAGGCCGAUGACAGACAUCGGUUAGUUCACAUCAAGAUUCUGAAUUGGUUCAAACAUUGUAGGAGAAAAAAGACUAUUGGUACAAUCUCUUCUAACAUGGAAGGCUUAACAUGUCUCAGCAGAUUCUGUGUCGAUGCCUGUCUCCGCAAAAGCUUCAAUUGCAGGUGUUACCCUUCUAAACUUAAACAAUUCUUAUUCCGAUCAAUGCUCUGCAACUGAUCCUCCCCAUUUCCUAACACGGCUCUCAGCUUCAUCUGCUUCUCUUUUCCAGUUAGUUAUUGAAGUGACUAUAAUCAAUAUUAUGGUCUGCAAACAAAUUCCUCCUAUCAUCCCUGACCAAAUACCCACGGCGCCAAAACCAAAUGUGAAUCCCAAGAGAAUGCCCGCCGGUAAUCCAACGAUGUAGUAACAAGCAAUGUUGAUGUAUGCAACAAGAGAUUGCCAUCCAGCUCCAACAGCAACGCCUGAUAAGACAGGCUGAAGGCUGUUUAGAAGCACAGUGAUUGCUAGCAAGGUAGCAAGUCUAGUAGUUUCAUUAGCAACUGCCUCACUGGUAGUGAAUAGGUAUGGGAAAUAGUCUCUUGUUGCAAAAACCACAGCCAUGCAAAUAACCCCUAUUGUGAUGGAUGUUACUGAAACUACUACCACUGAGAAUUUCGCAAGCCGAUGAUUACCAGCUCCAAGUUCAUUUGAUACUCUCACACUUAUGGCAGCAUUGAAUCCAAUAGCAAUCAUUGCAUCCCAUCCCUGUAUGUUCAUGCAUAUGGAAAUGGCAUCAACUGGUAUAAGGGGGUUAGGCAAACGACCAGUUACCACCACCAGUAUCAUCAAGUACCAAAACUCCAAGCAUAACAUGACAGCAGAUGCGAAAGAAAGCUUGACAAAACCCCACAAGUCUGCAAAUGCAAGCCAUGAGAAUCCAGACCAAGCGCCAUCUGACUUGGUAAUGAAAAUGUACAACAAUUGGCCUAUAACUAUAAGCCACCAUGAAGUGUUGAGGGUGAUUGCUGCUCCAGUUAAGCCCCAUCCAAGCUUCAGUAUUAGCAACCAGCUGAAAACUGCAUGCAACACCAGUACCACAGCAGACACCCAGGCCAUUACAAACACUUUCCUCUGUGAUUGCAAAAACUUCUGUAUGGGAAAAUUCAUUGCAUAUGCAAACAAUUGUGGAAGCAUCCACAGAGCAAAUUUCCCUGCAGCUUCAGAUAUCUGAGUAGUCUCUCCAAUGACUUCCAGAAUAGGAGGAGACCAAACAUAAAUUGGAACCAAUAAGCAGGCAGUGGUCAACAGAAUGACCCAUGAUCUCUGCAUAUAUAUGCCUAACAUUCUCAGCUGCCCCGCACCGUAGGCUUGCCCACAAAGCGUCUCCAAUGCACUACCCAUUCCCAACAUGACCCCGAAGGCGAGACCGGCAAUAACCGAGUUCUCAACGGAUACAGCAGCGAGCUCAACCUCACCAACAAGACCAGCAAAGGUCUGAGUAAGUGCACCCAGUGAAUACUGGCAAAUGGCAGUAAAGAUCGCUGGUCCUGCUAGCUUCCAUAGCCUCUUGGACUCUUCCCCAAAAUCUCUAAUAACGCUAAUAUGCUUUUGCUCUUGACGGCCACCAUUGGGAUUGCUAUCGAGAAGAGGAGUAUCUAUGGCCAUGGAUCACUUGUGCUUGCUAAAGCUCCUAGUCUGCUGCUGUCCUUGCAAUAAAAAAGAAUUGCUCUCAAUCUACUGCGAGUAUUUAAGACGUAAAGAAAAGGGGUUUAUCAAUAAAGAUUCUAUGAUGAUCUGUAGUUCUUAGUCAACCAGGUAGAGGUAGGUAUGAACUAGUUUAGCAUAGCUAGCCGCAUGGUGUUU